This 1155-nucleotide long non-coding RNA is filed under the name Papio anubis (olive baboon). RNAcentral's name for it is "lncRNA (ENSPANG00000047140.1)". Lineage: Eukaryota; Metazoa; Chordata; Mammalia; Primates; Cercopithecidae. The record is from RNAcentral.
AUGUUUGGGGAAGGCGCCCCCGGGACCCUGGUACUAUGGGGAAGCUGGACUAUGCAGGAGGAGGCCUUGAGGGCGGAGGCGGCCAGUGGGCUCCACCAAGCCCCUCACAGAUUCUUGGGGCCUCUCUGUGAGAUGCGAGUGUGGGAACUACCUGUCAUGUGGUCCUCCGAGAAGCAGCACGGCCAUCCCUCGAGAGAGCUGGCCUGGGUCCAGAACCUCCUGUGUGCGGAUUCCCUGGGCUCCAUCGGCCUUCGAGGUCUAGGGCACGCAAGGAGUGAGGGUGCAGGCACCAUUCUUUCCGGCUUUCAACAGAUGCAUACUGGGGGCUGUGGUGGGCCAGGCUCAGGAAGACAGCUGUGGCCUAGUUGGGUGAAGCUCCCAGAGGGGCCAAGGGGUCAUCCCUGUCUACACAGCAAUAGUUGUGCAGCCAGCUGUCCCCCAAGAGGGGCUAGCCCGUCCCCAGGUGCAGGAUCAUGGCCUGUGUGCUACCUGCUCGUCUACACCACCCUGACAGCAAAAAAGCAUGGGGGUGCUCUCCAAGCUGUGUUGACUGAGGCCUCCCAGGACCAGCAGCGAUGCAGUUGCCUCCCGAUGCCUCCUCCCUGCGGGGCCUGCGCGCAGCUCUCGGGUAGAGAGGCCUCCUGGAGCUCACAGCAGGGAGUGAAUUGCGAGUCCUUCACUCAUGCCCAGUCGUGGGGUCUGGGAGCUCCACACCAGGGAGGACUCCGUGCUCUCUCGGCCACCCUCCCUUCUCAUGGCCAGAGGGCCCCCAGCAGUGGGACUGGCCAGAGGGCGCCUGGGACACCUGGAGCUCUCGGCUACCCUAUUGGUCCUUUCCCACCUCAUGCCCCAGUGUGGAAGGGGAGGCACCUGUGUGUCCUUCCAAGGCCACGAAGGGUAACACAGGGCUUAGUCCUGGGUCAACUUGGCCCCGAUCACCACUCCCUGCCCUGGCCCCAGAGCCCAUGGAGGCAGGCUGGGCCCAGGGUCCUCCUCCAGUCCCAGCAGCCCCGCCGGCUGCGGCCCCCAAACCCUGUGCCCGCCCCCACCCCUCCAGACAGGCGUACAGGCGCCACCACCCCACCCAGGUUCUUACAACUGAAAUCACCCCAUCUCUUCUGUUUUACAUCAUUAGGAAGCGGAACCUUCCCAUAA